Molecule: ribosomal RNA, 591 nt
Filed under: uncultured bacterium
Lineage: Bacteria
Description: bacterial SSU rRNA
Rfam family: Bacterial small subunit ribosomal RNA
Source: RNAcentral
CUAAUACCGAAUGCCCUCAACGGAUCGCAUGGUCUGAUGAGGAAAAGGUUUCCGCUCCGGGAGGGCUCGCGGCCCAUCAGCUUGUGGUGGGGUAACGGCUACCAAAGCAACGACGGGUAGCUGGUCUGAGAGGACGAUCAGCCACACUGGGACUGAGACACGGCCCAGACUCCUACGGGAGGCAGCAGUAGGGAAUCUUGCGCAAUGGGCGAAAGCCUGACGCAGCAACGCCGCGUGGAGGAUGAAGGCCUUCGGGUUGUAAACUCCUUUCGGCAGGGACGAAAUUGACGGUACCUGCAGAAGAAGCCCCGGCCAACUACGUGCCAGCAGCCGCGGUAACACGUAGGGGGCGAGCGUUGUCCGGAUUCAUUGGGCGUAAAGAGCUCGUAGGCGGCUCGGUAAGUUGGAUGUGAAAUCUCCAGGCUCAACCUGGAGCGGCCAUCUGAUACUGCCGUGGCUGGAGUCCGGUAGGGGGUCGUGGAAUUCCCGGUGUAGCGGUGAAAUGCACAGAUAUCGGGAGGAACACCAGUGGCGAAGGCGGCGACCUGGGCCGGUACUGACGCUGAGGAGCGAAAGCGUGGGGAGCGAACA